GAGCACCCUGGGCACAGUGCAAAAAAUUUUAAAAAGCUGAGUGGCCAUUCUUUGUCCCAGUUGUCCAUGUAUGACCUUGGGGAAGCCACGUGUGCCAUGCUGUGCCACCUUGACUUUGGAGGGCUGAGAUCUCGGCCAAGGUCCUGCCCCACUAAGCUCUGGGCUCCUGCCCUUGCCCUCCGGGCCUCCCAGGAUACAGUUAGCCUACGGGAGGAGCAGGACUUUGGAGCAGAUCCGGGCUCCCUCCUGGCCUUUGGUGACCGGUCUGGUGACUUGACUCCACCCAGGAUGAGGCGUAAGGUGAGUCCCCACACUCAAGUCCUCUGCUGGGCCACGCUGCUGUCCACACUCCCAGGACGGGGAGGAGAUGAGCCAGCUCCUGGCAGCAGAGCAGGGAGCUUGGUGACUUGGGGCGGGCUUGCAGAAGACACUGCCCAGAAGGUGGGACUUGGAGCCAGAUGGGAGCUUCCCCUCGUGCAGCCACCACCAUUGGGUGCUGCAGACACAAGGCUGCACUGAAGGUAGCCCGGGCACAAGUUCCGGGGAGGGCGAGUGUUAGGCCCGUGUGGCUCAGUGGCAGAGGCUGGCCUGCCUGCCAGAGGCCAAUUUCUGGGUUCCUCUCCAGAACGGCCAGGGAAGCCUGGGAGAGUGUUGACGGCGGUGAUGCUGUCUGCUGUGUUUUCAUUCUCUAGAAACUGCUCCACAGGUGGAGAAAUUGGUGACACCUGGCCGGUGUGGGACGGGAGCCAUGGAUCGCAUGGCCUGUGGUCUGGCCUGGUUCAGGUCCAGGCUCUGCCCUCGGGGGUCCUAAAGGGCCGGCACUAAAUAGCAGUUGCUUCCCACAAUCUGUACGCAUGCUCAUUUCUCAGACACCUUG
This 877-nucleotide long non-coding RNA is filed under the name Marmota monax (woodchuck). Lineage: Eukaryota; Metazoa; Chordata; Mammalia; Rodentia; Sciuridae. The record is from RNAcentral.